Molecule: long non-coding RNA, 440 nt
Organism: Mus musculus (house mouse)
Lineage: Eukaryota; Metazoa; Chordata; Mammalia; Rodentia; Muridae
Product: predicted gene, 34044
Exons: 4
Source: RefSeq, a predicted model, not a curated record
CUUCCUGCCUUGUUCACUAUCUGAACAUGAUUCCACAUUUAUCUCAAUCUCAGCUCCUAUAUUUUCAGGCAAAGCUGAUCGCAAGCAGGGAACCAUCAGAACCUCCACUUAGUCCAGGAUCGUGGUCUUUAACUUGAAUGAUGAUCCCUUCAGAGAUGCUAGGAAAAGCAUGCUGUGUACAUAAGGAUGAAAGAGGCCCUUGUGAAAAGUUGACGUGAACUUCGGUUCUUGGAUAGAUGAUGCAACGAUGGAUGUCGUCUCAACAGUCCCUUCAGCUCUAACCAUAUGGUAAUGGAAGCUGAAGGUCUCAGAGGCUGAGAUUGACCCCUAACACCAUGCCAAGUCAAGGUGCCAAGCCGUACUGGGCACCACAUAUCUCCAUGUAUCUGUGGGAAAUCGAACCUGGCUAUUCUGUAAGUACAGCAAAUGCGCCUUACCAC